GACGAACGCUGGCGGCGUGCUUAACACAUGCAAGUCGAACGGUAAGGCCCUUCGGGGUACACGAGUGGCGAACAGGUGAGUAACACGUGGGUGAUCUGCCUUGCACUUCGGGAUAAGCCUGGGAAACUGGGUCUAAUACCGGAUAGGACCACUGCCUGCAUGGGUGGUGGUGGAAAGCUUUUGCGGUGUGGGAUGGGCCCGCGGCCUAUCAGCUUGUUGGUGGGGUGAUGGCCUACCAAGGCGACGACGGGUAGCCGGCCUGAGAGGGUGACCGGCCACACUGGGACUGAGAUACGGCCCAGACUCCUACGGGAGGCAGCAGUGGGGAAUAUUGCACAAUGGGCGCAAGCCUGAUGCAGCGACGCCGCGUGAGGGAUGACGGCCUUCGGGUUGUAAACCUCUUUCAGCACCGACGAAGCGCAAGUGACGGUAGGUGCAGAAGAAGGACCGGCCAACUACGUGCCAGCAGCCGCUGUAA
This 478-nucleotide ribosomal RNA is filed under the name uncultured bacterium. Its description in RNAcentral is "partial 16S ribosomal RNA". It matches the Rfam family "Bacterial small subunit ribosomal RNA", at positions 28 to 523 of the family's 1533-position model. The record is from RNAcentral.